AAAAGAACUCACUCACUCCAGACAAUAAUGGCUGAAGCCAACAGAAGCCCAGCUGACUUUGAGAUAUAUAGUAUCAUCCGACAGGUGAAUGAGAAAAUGUUUCUAGCUUUAAGAGUGAGAUACGAGCACAUUUCAGAAUUGAGCGACUUCGUCUACAAUGUUGUGUGAUAUGUAUUAACGAACAAAAUACUAUUUUUUUCCCCCCACAUAUUUUUGGGGAACCUGUCGCAUUCUUCACAGGACUGAGUUUAUUUCACAUCAGGGCAACUCAAUUUGUUUGUAGUUGAAGCAGCAAUAGCCCGAAGUGCGAGAGGCUCAGACGGAAGUAUUUCAGAAAAAGAAAGAGAGAAAGAAAGAAGAAAAAUAAGAACAGCGCCAACAUCAGAAGAGGCCUUACCAUCCAUCAAAGCGUCUUCCAGCUUUUCAUCUCGCCCAGACUAUCUAUACCUGUAAUUAGGUUUGGGUGAGGGAGAAGAUGGAUUUGGUUUGCAGCACCAUGCAGAGAAAAACAAGACAUCAGGAAGUCCUUACCGCUGUUCUGGGACCAGCCCUUAAUGGGUGUCUAAUUGACCUGGUCUGUCAUGUGGCCAUGGCUUCAUGCGGUCAGGGGGGCAGUUAUCUAUAUGUGUCAUCCUGAGAGGAUUAGCAUUAGUAGUGCGUGCGUCUGUCUGUCUGUCUGUCUGUCUGUCUGUCUGUCUGUCUGUCUGUCUGUCUGUCUGUCUGUCUGUCUGUCUGUCUGUCUGUCUCUGUCUGUCUGGUUGUGGGUGAUGGGUGGCAUCAUGGGGUUCCUAUAAUUGCCUUCCAGAUGAGAUGUGAGUGAAUCAGGAAAACAUGAAUGAAUUAACAUAGUACCCUUCUACCUAAAAGUCAGGCAUACAACACAUUAUCUGAAAGAGGACCGCUAAAAUCUAUUAUCCAAAUGCUCUAUAAAAUAGGAGUGAAUCCAGCAUCUCUAUUUACUUCCUGUCUCUGGUGCAGCUGUACUGCAGACACGCACAUCGCUUCAGUGACCUUCAGGAUGAUCUGAAAACCAAGAAUGAUGCCUCCGGUGUGUUACUGGUGUGUCUCCUCUCCCAAGAUGGACAGCCGAGCAUUAUUGAUCACAAAACACUUCAACAGUGCUAUAUACUGUGUCGCCUAUGGAAGCACAUUUAAGAGAACAUGUCGUAGCAAUUCACGUUUUUUUCUGCUAUAAAGCGUGUGAUGAAAUGGUG
Molecule: long non-coding RNA, 1214 nt
Organism: Oncorhynchus kisutch (coho salmon)
Lineage: Eukaryota; Metazoa; Chordata; Actinopteri; Salmoniformes; Salmonidae
Exons: 2
Source: RefSeq, a predicted model, not a curated record